RNAcentral lists this ribosomal RNA (253 nucleotides) under uncultured bacterium. Its description in RNAcentral is "partial 16S ribosomal RNA". It matches the Rfam family "Bacterial small subunit ribosomal RNA", at positions 524 to 776 of the family's 1533-position model. The record is from RNAcentral.
UACGAAGGGGGCUAGCGUUGUUCGUAAUCACUGGGCUUAAAGGGCGCGUAGGCGGGCUCACAAGUCAGGGGUGAAAUCCCACGGCUCAACCGUGGAAGUGCCUUUGAUACUGUGGGUCUUGAGGGAGGUAGGGGCGUGCGGAACUUCCGGUGGAGCGGUGAAAUGCGUAGAUAUCGGAAGGAACACCGGUGGCGAAAGCGGCGCGCUGGACCUCUACUGACGCUGAGGCGCGAAAGCCAGGGGAGCAAACGGG